CCACCACUAAUAAGCGGCUCUAAACGUACACGAGGACGUCUUCUAACAUAAGCGGCUCCAAUUCCUUUAGGGCCGUAAAUUUUGUGAGCAGAAAUAGACAUUAAAUCAAUGUUCAUUCGAUUGACGUCAAUGUCAAUUUUUCCAUAUCCUUGAGCAGCAUCUGAGUGAAAGAAAACCUUCUUCUGUCGACAAAUUUUGCCAAUCUCUUCUAGUGGUUGACAAACACCAAUUUCAUUAUUGACGGCCAUUACACUUACACAAACAGUAUCAGGACGUAUGGCGUCACGUAAUUCAUCCAAAUUAAUAAGGCCAUUAGUUUGAACAGGUAGAAAAGUAACUUCAAACCCUUCUUCUUGGAGAGCACGUAAGGAAUCCAAAACGCA
Molecule: non-coding RNA, 383 nt
Organism: Schizosaccharomyces pombe (fission yeast)
Lineage: Eukaryota; Fungi; Ascomycota; Schizosaccharomycetes; Schizosaccharomycetales; Schizosaccharomycetaceae
Source: the annotation of a GenBank genome assembly